This 395-nucleotide ribosomal RNA is filed under the name uncultured Bicosoecida. Its description in RNAcentral is "partial small subunit ribosomal RNA". It matches the Rfam family "Eukaryotic small subunit ribosomal RNA", at positions 30 to 432 of the family's 1831-position model. The record is from RNAcentral. Lineage: Eukaryota; Bigyra; Bicosoecida.
GCUUGUCUCAAAGAUUAAGCCAUGCAUGUCUAAGUAUAAGCACUUAUACAGUGAAACUGCGAAUGGCUCAUUAUAUCAGUUAUAGUUUAUUUGAUAGUCCCUACUACUUGGAUAACCGUAGUAAUUCUAGAGCUAAUACAUGCGCGAAUCCCUGACUGCGUGAGCGGAAAGGGUGUAUUUAUUAGAUACAACCAACCGGGCAACCGUUUUUGGUGAAUCAUAAUAACUGAGCGAACCGCAUGCUUCGGCGGCGGUGGUCUAUUAAGUUUCUGCCCUAUCAGCUUUCGAUGGUAGGGUAUUGGCCUACCAUGGCGUUAACGGGUAACGGAGAAUUAGGGUUCGAUUCCGGAGAGGGAGCUUGAGAGAUGGCUACCACAUCCAAGGAAGGCAGCAGG